AGCAUGCUGUAACCGCGCGAAGCGGGUUGUUCCAAGCGUUUGUCCAGCUCGGACAAACCACCUGGCUUUAGGCGAGUCUGAGACAUGAG
Paenibacillus sp. is the source of this 89-nucleotide regulatory RNA element. The record is from Rfam. NCBI's taxonomy places the organism in Bacteria, Bacillati, Bacillota, Bacilli, Caryophanales, Paenibacillaceae.